Molecule: ribosomal RNA, 650 nt
Filed under: Burkholderia sp. EECC-564
Lineage: Bacteria; Pseudomonadati; Pseudomonadota; Betaproteobacteria; Burkholderiales; Burkholderiaceae
Description: bacterial SSU rRNA
Rfam family: Bacterial small subunit ribosomal RNA
Source: RNAcentral
GGCGGACGGGUGAGUAAUGCCUAGGAAUCUGCCUGGUAGUGGGGGACAACGUUUCGAAAGGAACGCUAAUACCGCAUACGUCCUACGGGAGAAAGCAGGGGACCUUCGGGCCUUGCGCUAUCAGAUGAGCCUAGGUCGGAUUAGCUAGUUGGUGAGGUAAUGGCUCACCAAGGCGACGAUCCGUAACUGGUCUGAGAGGAUGAUCAGUCACACUGGAACUGAGACACGGUCCAGACUCCUACGGGAGGCAGCAGUGGGGAAUAUUGGACAAUGGGCGAAAGCCUGAUCCAGCCAUGCCGCGUGUGUGAAGAAGGUCUUCGGAUUGUAAAGCACUUUAAGUUGGGAGGAAGGGUUGUAGAUUAAUACUCUGCAAUUUUGACGUUACCGACAGAAUAAGCACCGGCUAACUCUGUGCCAGCAGCCGCGGUAAUACAGAGGGUGCAAGCGUUAAUCGGAAUUACUGGGCGUAAAGCGCGCGUAGGUGGUUCGUUAAGUUGGAUGUGAAAUCCCCGGGCUCAACCUGGGAACUGCAUCCAAAACUGGCGAGCUAGAGUAUGGUAGAGGGUGGUGGAAUUUCCUGUGUAGCGGUGAAAUGCGUAGAUAUAGGAAGGAACACCAGUGGCGAAGGCGACCACCUGGACUGAUACUGA